CCUACGGGAGGCAGCAGUGGGGAAUAUUGGGCAAUGGGCGCAAGCCUGACCCAGCGACGCCGCGUGAACGAAGAAGGCUUUCGGGUUGUAAACUUCUUUUAGGAGGGAAGAGCAGAAGACGGUACCUCUUGAAUAAGCCACGGCUAAAUACGUGCCAGCAGGCGCGGUAAUACGUAGGUGGCAAGCGUUGUCCGGAUUUACUGGGUGUAAAGGGCGUGCAGCCGGGAAGACACGCCAGAUGUGAAAUCCCGGGGCUCAACCGCGGAACUGCAUUUGAAACUGUUUUUCUUGAGUACCGGAGAGGUCAGCGGAAUUCCUUGUGUAGCGGUGAAAUGCGUAGAUAUAAGGAAGAACACCAGUGGCGAAGGCGGAUGACUGGACGGCAACUGACGGUGAGGCGCGAAAGCGUGGGGAGCAAACAGGAUUAGAUACCCCGGUAGUC
This 442-nucleotide ribosomal RNA is filed under the name uncultured bacterium. RNAcentral describes it as "partial 16S ribosomal RNA". It matches the Rfam family "Bacterial small subunit ribosomal RNA", at positions 338 to 795 of the family's 1533-position model. The record is from RNAcentral.